GACGAACGCUGGCGGCGUGCCUAAUACAUGCAAGUCGAGCGGACGUUUUUGAAGCUUGCUUCAAAAACGUUAGCGGCGGACGGGUGAGUAACACGUGGGCAACCUGCCUUAUCGACUGGGAUAACUCCGGGAAAACGGGGCUAAUACCGGAUAACAUCUAGCAACUCCUGGUGCCAGGUUAAAGUCGGGCCUUCGGGCUCCCACGCUGGGAUGGGCCCGCGGAGCAUUAGCUAGUUGGGGAGGUAAUGGCGCCCCAAGGCGACGAUGGCGUAGCCGACCUGAGAGGGUGAUCGGCCACACUGGGACUGAGACACGGCCCAGACUCCUACGGGAGGCAGCAGUAGGGAAUCUUCCGCAAUGGACGAAAGUCUGACGGAGCAACGCCGCGUGAGUGAUGAAGGGUUUCGGCUCGUAAAGCUCUGUUAUGAGGGAAGAACACGUACCGUUCGAAUAGGGCGGUACCUUGACGGUACCUCAUCAGAAAGCCACGGCUAACUACGUGCCAGCAGCCGCCGUAA
RNAcentral lists this ribosomal RNA (518 nucleotides) under uncultured bacterium. Its description in RNAcentral is "partial 16S ribosomal RNA". It matches the Rfam family "Bacterial small subunit ribosomal RNA", at positions 28 to 523 of the family's 1533-position model. The record is from RNAcentral.